CUACGGAGGCUGCAGUGGGGAAUAUUGGACAAUGGGCGAAAGCCUGAUCCAGCCAUGCCGCGUGUGUGAAGAAGGCCUUCGGGUUGUAAAGCACUUUCAGUGGGGAAGAAAGCCUUGGGGCUAAUACCCUCGAGGAAGGACAUCACCCACAGAAGAAGCACCGGCUAACUCCGUGCCAGCAGCCGCGGUAAUACGGAGGGUGCGAGCGUUAAUCGGAAUUACUGGGCGUAAAGCGCGCGUAGGCGGUCUGAUAAGCCGGUUGUGAAAGCCCCGGGCUCAACCUGGGAACGGCAUCCGGAACUGUCAGGCUAGAGUGCAGGAGAGGAAGGUAGAAUUCCCGGUGUAGCGGUGAAAUGCGUAGAGAUCGGGAGGAAUACCAGUGGCGAAGGCGGCCUUCUGGACUGACACUGACGCUGAGGUGCGAAAGCGUGGGUAGCAAACAGGAUUAGAUACCCCGUAGUC
RNAcentral lists this ribosomal RNA (462 nucleotides) under Vreelandella stevensii. RNAcentral's name for it is "partial 16S ribosomal RNA". It matches the Rfam family "Bacterial small subunit ribosomal RNA", at positions 339 to 795 of the family's 1533-position model. Lineage: Bacteria; Pseudomonadati; Pseudomonadota; Gammaproteobacteria; Oceanospirillales; Halomonadaceae. The record is from RNAcentral.